AGCGAACGCUGGCGGCGUGCUUAACACAUGCAAGUCGAGCGAAGGUGUUUCAAGGGUAACCUUGAGAUACACUUAGCGGCGGACGGGUGAGUAAUACGUGGAUAACUUACCUCUAGGCCUGGGAUAACCCCGGGAAACUGGGGCUAAUACCUGAUAAGACCACAUUGUCUACGGACAAAGGGGUAAAAGGUGGCUGUGCAAAACAGCUAUCGCCAAAAGAUAGGUUCACGUCCCAUCAGGCAGUUGGUGAGGUAAUGGCUCACCAAACCAAAGACGGGUAGCCGGCCUUGGCGGGUGAACGGCCACACGGGGACUGAGACACGGCCCCGACUCCUACGGGAGGCAGCAGUGGGGAAUAUUGGGCAAUGGGCGCAAGCCUGACCCAGCGACGUCGCGUUGGGAAGAAGGCC
RNAcentral lists this ribosomal RNA (410 nucleotides) under uncultured bacterium. Its description in RNAcentral is "bacterial SSU rRNA". It matches the Rfam family "Bacterial small subunit ribosomal RNA", at positions 29 to 416 of the family's 1533-position model. The record is from RNAcentral.